This 376-nucleotide unclassified non-coding RNA is filed under the name uncultured bacterium. RNAcentral's name for it is "contains 16S-23S intergenic spacer region". The record is from RNAcentral.
UCGCGGCUUAUCACCGGCAGUCCCCUUAGAGUGCCCAACUAAAUGAUGGCAACUAAGGGCGAGGGUUGCGCUCGUUGCGGGACUUAACCCAACAUCUCGCGACACGAGCUGACGACAGCCAUGCAGCAUCUGUGCCACACCCUCGAAGGCGACGCCCUUUCAGGCGCUUGCAGUGGCAUGUCCAAUCUGGGUAAGGUUCUGCGCGUUGCGUCGAAUUAAACCACACGCCCCGCUGCUUGUGCGGGCCCCCGUCAAUUCCUUUGAGUUUUAGCCUUGCGGCCGUACUCCCCAGGCGGGGCACUUAAUGCGUUAGCUUCGGCACGGAGGGAGUCGACACCCCCCACACCUAGUGCCCAUCGUUUACAGCGUGGACUAC